CCCAGUUAUCGACGUAUAUACAUGCAGUCGAACGAACUCUGGUAUUGAUUGGUGCUUGCAUCAUGAUUUACAUUUGAGUGAGUGGCGAACUGGUGAGUAACACGUGGGAAACCUGCCCAGAAGCGGGGGAUAACACCUGGAAACAGAUGCUAAUACCGCAUAACAACUUGGACCGCAUGGUCCGAGCUUGAAAGAUGGCUUCGGCUAUCACUUUUGGAUGGUCCCGCGGCGUAUUAGCUAGAUGGUGGGGUAACGGCUCACCAUGGCAAUGAUACGUAGCCGACCUGAGAGGGUAAUCGGCCACAUUGGGACUGAGACACGGCCCAAACUCCUACGGGAGGCAGCAGUAGGGAAUCUUCCACAAUGGACGAAAGUCUGAUGGAGCAACGCCGCGUGAGUGAAGAAGGGUUUCGGCUCGUAAAACUCUGUUGUUAAAGAAGAACAUAUCUGAGAGUAACUGUUCAGGUAUUGACGGUAUUUAACCAGAAAGCCACGGCUAACUACGUGCCAGCAGCCGCGGUAAUACGUAGGUGGGAAGCGUUGUCCGGGAUUUAUUGGGCGUAAAGCGAGCGCAGGCGGGUUUUUAAGUCUGAUGUGAAAGCCUUCGGCUCAACCGAAGAAAUGCAUCGGAAACUGGGGAAACUUGAGUGCAGAAGAGGACAGUGGAACUCCCUGUGUAGCGGUGAAAUGCGUAGAUAUAUGGAAGAACACCACUGGCGAAAGCGGCUGUCUGGUCUGUAACUGACGCUGAUGCUCGAGAGUAUGGGCAGCAAACAGGAUUAGAUACCCUGGGUAGUCCAUACCGUCACGAUGAAUGCUAAGUGUGGAGGGUGUGCCGCCCCUUCACUGCUGCAGCUAACGCAUUAAUCAUUCCGCCUGGGGAGGACG
RNAcentral lists this ribosomal RNA (888 nucleotides) under Lactiplantibacillus plantarum. RNAcentral describes it as "bacterial SSU rRNA". It matches the Rfam family "Bacterial small subunit ribosomal RNA", at positions 30 to 884 of the family's 1533-position model. The record is from RNAcentral. Lineage: Bacteria; Bacillati; Bacillota; Bacilli; Lactobacillales; Lactobacillaceae.